GACGAACGCUGGCGGCGUGCUUAACACAUGCAAGUCGAACGGAAAGGCCUGCUUUCCCUUGUGGAUUGCGGGUACUCGAGUGGCGAACGGGUGAGUAACACGUGAGUGAUCUGCCCCCAACUUGGGUAUAAGCCUGGGAAACUGGGUCUAAUUCCCGAUAGGACUGCAGGGUGGUGCCUGUGGUGGAAAACGAUUUUCUAGUGGUUGGGGAUGAGCUCGCGGCCUAUCAGCUUGUUGGUGGGGUAAUGGCCUACCAAGGCGGCGACGGGUAGCCGGCCUGAGAGGGUGGACGGCCACAUUGGGACUGAGAUACGGCCCAGACUCCUACGAGAGGCAGCAGUGGGGAAUAUUGCACAAUGGGCGGAAGCCUGAUGCAGCGACGCCGCGUGGGGGAUGACGGCCUUCGGGUUGUAAACUCCUUUCGACCGCGAGGAAGCCACCUGGUUGGAAGGGUGGUGACGGUAGUGGUAGAAGAAGCACCGGCUAACUACGUG
RNAcentral lists this ribosomal RNA (494 nucleotides) under uncultured bacterium. Its description in RNAcentral is "partial 16S ribosomal RNA". It matches the Rfam family "Bacterial small subunit ribosomal RNA", at positions 28 to 507 of the family's 1533-position model. The record is from RNAcentral.